GUCGAGAGGCUUUGGCAAUGGGGGAAACCCUGACCAAGCGACGCCGCGUGGAGGAUGAAGGCCCUUGGGUUGUAAACUCCUUUUGUCGGGGAAGAAGUGCGAUCAGGUGAACAAUCUGGUCGUUUGACGGUACUCGGCGAAUAAGCUCCGGCUAACUCCGUGCCAGCAGCCGCGGUAACACGGGGGGAGCAAGCGUUGUUCGGAAUCACUGGGCGUAAAGGGCGUGUAGGCGGUCCGGUAAGUGGGAUGUGAAAUCCCCCGGCUCACCCGGGGGCGUGCAUCCCAAACUGCCGGGCUUGAGUACGGGAGAGGAUGAGGGAAUUCCUGGUGUAGCGGUGAAAUGCGUAGAUAUCAGGAGGAACACCGGUGGCGAAGGCGCUCAUCUGGCCCGAUACUGACGCUGAGGCGCGAAAGCUAGGGGAGCGAACGGGAUUAGAUACCCUAGUAGUCC
Molecule: ribosomal RNA, 451 nt
Filed under: uncultured bacterium
Lineage: Bacteria
Description: bacterial SSU rRNA
Rfam family: Bacterial small subunit ribosomal RNA
Source: RNAcentral